Acinonyx jubatus (cheetah) is the source of this 1897-nucleotide long non-coding RNA. RefSeq lists it as uncharacterized. NCBI's taxonomy places the organism in Eukaryota, Metazoa, Chordata, Mammalia, Carnivora, Felidae. The transcript is spliced from 3 exons. The record is from RefSeq and is a predicted model, not a curated record.
AUAAAUAAAUAAAUAAAAGAAUCAGGGCGCCUGGGUGGCCUAGACGGUUAAGCAUCCAACUCUUGAUUUCAGCUCAUCACGGUUCGUGAGUUCCAGCCCCGCAUCAGACUCUGUGCUGGCAGUGCAGAGCCUGCUAGGGAUUCUCCCUCUCUGCCCCUCUCCUGCUCAAUAAAUAAACUUAAAAAUAAAAAUAAUAAAAGACAGAAUAAAGGAGGUCAGAAGGUGGUUUGCAAUCUUUGGACAUAGCUGGCUUGUAUUGCCCAUGAAGAGAUAAAGUUCCCCGGCCUUUCUUCAUUACCUUUACAAUUUGCUCAGAGUGUCGGGGUCACCAAAGAGCUCACUGUGAGAAGCAAAAAUCAUCCUGUGCCUCUCCCCAUAGGUCAUGGGCUUGGAGAGUGUCAGAGCUUGGAGGAGGGACCUGAGACACAGAGGACCCAACGUGUCCGGAGGAGUGUCCUGAGAACCUUGACCUCAGUGCCGCUGCCUGGCUCGGCACAGGCAUGAACAUGUGGUCGCAUCACUGGAGCCUGAACACCGAUCCGGACUUGAGACUUCCCUUGUUCAAUAACUCUGUAACCCCUGGCCAGGGCCGGUCUCUCGCACUCACCCAGCUUCCGACGUACCCAUGUCUCCUCACGGUACUCUUGACGAUUAGACCACCUUCCAAAGCAACUGGAACAUUCUCGACGUUACCUUCGGAGGCUCCAUGCAGCCCACCCGACCGCACGGUGAGAAUUCUGACGAAGCAUCUGGAAUGGUUUUGCUCUUCUGAGGUGGCCGUAAAUACAGCUUCCCUACAGCGUCCAUCUGCGGGCUGGUGUUAGCGACGUGGUCCCGACGUGGCUGAGCAGGCCCGAGGGAUGGUUCGGAUCGAAGCAGGGGCAGAGUGGGGCCCGAACACAACCAGCAGCCCCGGAACGUAGGCCACACUCUCUGGAGCCUCAGGACGUGGAUAUCCGAGGACCAGGCAGAGGGGAGCCCUUCGGGGAGAGGGUGAUGUCAGGUGAGGGACGUAGGGCUGGCAACCGAGGCAAGAAGCUAAUUCAGCGCUGGACGUCUGGACCGUGUUCUACGGGGGAAAAUGUCUAUUACCGUGUUUCUUGAUCAGGAGGCCACGCUUGGGAAAUAUGGAAUAACUUCGAGAAACACUACUGAGCAAAAAUCAAGGGGGGGUACCCCCACCUCCGGCCUUCCAGACGUUUCCGCUCUUCGCCUGGGCAGCAAGCUUUUUGCAAAGGGCAAAUCUUUCCCAGGGCAUUCCCCACCCGUUUUUCCGUAGCCCACACCGCAUCCCCCACAAGCCGAGGGGCUACUGGGUUGAUACAGUUCAAAAUGUAUCACCACUUAAAUAACACAUUCUAGUUGCAGAAAAAUUUUAAACCACAGAAAAAUGUAAAUAAGAGAUAAACCUGUGGUCCAACCACCCAGAGAGCCUCACUGGUAAUAUUGUGAUGUAUUUCCUCCUGGUCUUGUUUUUCUUUCCUUUUCAAAAUUUUUUUAAUUAAAAACAAUUGUUUUUGUCCGAUGUACGGGUUCAACUCACGACCCUGAAACAUUUUUUUAAUAUUUAUUUUUUAGAGAGUGAUAGAGAGACAGAGAGAGAGAGGGAGGUGUAGAAAGAGAGGGAGACCCAGAAUCCGAAGCAGGCUCCAGGCUCUGAGCUGUCAGCACAGAGCCCGACACGGGGCUCGAACUCACAGAGUGUGAGAUCGUGACCUGAGCUGAAGUCGGACGCUUAACUGACUGAGCCACCCAGGUGCCCCAUUGAACUCCCGACCCCUAGAUCAAGAGUCUAGGCAGCCAAUCGCCACCCCUGAUUUUGUUUUUCAAUACAUGCUUUAAAAUUUUUUUUAAACAUAAAUGCAAUUAAAAAAAAACCACAUAGAUGUGAUUUAUA